UUCAUCAAGAGCAGUCGAGGGAAUGGCCCGAUGACACUGCGGCAACCCCCAAAUGGGAUAGGUGCCAAGUCCAACGGUAAUACCGGCAGAUGA
RNAcentral lists this non-coding RNA (93 nucleotides) under uncultured Megasphaera sp. RNAcentral describes it as "SAM riboswitch (S box leader)". It matches the Rfam family "SAM riboswitch aptamer (S box leader)". Rfam says of the family: The SAM riboswitch is found upstream of a number of genes which code for proteins involved in methionine or cysteine biosynthesis in Gram-positive bacteria. The SAM riboswitch acts at the level of transcription termination control. Lineage: Bacteria; Bacillati; Bacillota; Negativicutes; Veillonellales; Veillonellaceae. The record is from RNAcentral.